Hippopotamus amphibius kiboko is the source of this 549-nucleotide long non-coding RNA. RefSeq lists it as uncharacterized. NCBI's taxonomy places the organism in Eukaryota, Metazoa, Chordata, Mammalia, Artiodactyla, Hippopotamidae. The record is from RefSeq and is a predicted model, not a curated record. The transcript is spliced from 3 exons.
CCCUGGCCUCCCUGUGCCCAGGAAAAGGUCUGCAAAGAUUCUAAGGGCCUCUUCUGUCCACCAUGUCCUCCCCAGCACGAGCUCAGGAGUAAGUAGGUUCUUUCCUGAGACCCAGGCAAAAAUUCUCUAAGGGGGGGCCACCUUGUCAGUCUCCUCCAUCUUCUGCCCCGUUUGGUGACCUCCAAAUAGAAGCAGUUGGGUAGCAUUCAUGAUCCAAGAGGAGAGCGAGCAUGGACUUGGGAACAGAAGGGCCUAGUUGAAUUCCAGUUCUGUGGCUGGAAAUGGGAACCCCUAGGUCUGACAGUGACGGCCAGGAUGCCCUGGUCAGAGGAGCUGGAUGUUGCAGUGUCUAGGUUCUGUCCCGAGACCACACUGUACCCUGCCGUACCCCAAGAGAGAGUGACCAGGAGUUGUUUUGAUGGCAUCAGGCUCAGUAAUGUGUGAAGACUCGGCGCAAACUGAGAGGGAGGAGACUGGUAAGAGCUGACCUGAGAAAUGGAGGAAGAUUGGGAGCAAACACCUAAUUAAAAUAUGUUUGACUUUCCAUGA